GCGUGAAAUAUACGUGUUAUGUGUAAAAUUUUCACGUGAAAAAUCACCUAAAGAACACGCGAUUGUAAACUAUCGUAAUAUAUUGUUAGUGUGUAAAAAUACGUGUUUAGUGUAAUCCACUGUAGUGAUUUUAAAUAGUUACAUAUAUGAAGUGUAUUGUAGUAAGUUUCUUAAAUGUUCCUAGUGGUUUUAUAAUAAUUUAGUAAUAUUUCCCCAGUUGUAAUUGUAUAUAGUAGUGUUUGUGUGUGUAUUGAACUUACUGCGGUUGUCGUAGACAUUCACAGCUGAUAUUCCCGGGCUUAUUAAAGGUAGUCUCGGGGAUUUGCUUGCAGCUGAUAAAACUGCUCCCGG
Long non-coding RNA from Bicyclus anynana (squinting bush brown), 351 nucleotides. RefSeq lists it as uncharacterized. The record is from RefSeq and is a predicted model, not a curated record. NCBI's taxonomy places the organism in Eukaryota, Metazoa, Arthropoda, Insecta, Lepidoptera, Nymphalidae. The transcript is spliced from 3 exons.